AUUGAACGCUGGCGGCAGGCCUAACACAUGCAAGUCGAACGAGUGGCGGACGGGUGAGUAAUGUCUGGGAAACUGCCCGAUGGAGGGGGAUAACUACUGGAAACGGUAGCUAAUACCGCAUACCAUCGGAUGUGCCCAAGUGGGAUUAGCUAGUUGGUGGGGUAACGGCUCACCUAGGCGACGAUCCCUAGCUGGUCUGAGAGGAUGACCAGCCACACUGGAACUGAGACACGGUCCAGACUCCUACGGGAGGCAGCAGUGGGGAAUAUUGCGCAAUGGGGGCAACCCUGACGCAGCCAUGCCGCGUGUAUGAAGAAGGCCUUCGGGUUGUAAAGUUCUUUCAGCGAGGAGGCGUUAAUCGCAGAAGAAGCACCGGCUAACUCCGUGCCAGCAGCCGCGGUAAUAC
This 406-nucleotide ribosomal RNA is filed under the name uncultured bacterium. RNAcentral's name for it is "partial 16S ribosomal RNA". It matches the Rfam family "Bacterial small subunit ribosomal RNA", at positions 30 to 526 of the family's 1533-position model. The record is from RNAcentral.